Psammomys obesus (fat sand rat) is the source of this 1360-nucleotide long non-coding RNA. RefSeq lists it as uncharacterized. The transcript has 3 exons. Lineage: Eukaryota; Metazoa; Chordata; Mammalia; Rodentia; Muridae. The record is from RefSeq and is a predicted model, not a curated record.
AUCCUGGCUUGGAGGUCUAGGAGCUUCCUGUGUAGGGGGUCAAAAGCCACCCCGAAGUCCUUGUGCUGGACGAGCAGGCUCUGCAAAUAGAACUACAAAUGAAGAGCUUUCCUCAUGGUGUCUUGUAAGACCUGACAGUGGGCUGGGCUGCUCUCUCUAUGCUAGCUCCUGAACCACCUCCUCCAGGAUGCCCUCCCUGCAGCUCCAGUGGUUUGAGAGGGAAGAUCUCACUUCCGGUCUGCUUCCCCCAGUUCCUGCCUCCCCGAUUCGUUCUGCUGAUGACAUGAGAUUACUGGACUGGAGUCAGGUGACAUAGCCUGAGCCGUGACCCCUGCACCAGACUCUCCUCACCUGUAAAACCAGGAAAAUGGCAGCACCUCCCCCACAGCAUCAGCUGGACAAAGGAGCUGCGAUUCUGCAGACGUCUGUGGAGAAGCGGCGCAGCAGAAAGACUGCAUUGGGAGGCCCUGAAUUUCAGGAUCAGGUUGGUUUUCUUUUUCCAGCUCCCCGUGCAUCUCAUUACCAAAGGCCAGGUAAUAAUGCACUCCCUUUUCUGUCUCGGAAACCCAUGUCCCCACAUCAUCACCACCAGCAGCUCUGGCAUGCCCUCAGCCUCUCUCACUUGGACCACCGCUCCUGCCUGCCUAUUGCAUCCAAGCUGGCGCUCCAGAGCUGGCCCUCCACACUGCACCAACUUGAGCCUCUAUGCCACUACACAGUGACCCUCCAUCACCAACAGACCUUCUGACAUCCUGAAAACACAGCCCCUGGGCCCCUGGGCAGUUCCCACCAAUAACAAGAGGCAACUGGAUCCCUGUGGGUUCGUGGCUGACCAAGUCUACAUAGUAAGUUCCAGACAAGCCAGGGCUACAAAAGGAGACCCUGUCUCAACUAGAAAACUAAAUAAAACAGAUAAUUAAGGAGAGAUUAAAGUUGGGGAGAUGGCUCAACAAUUAAGGUGCUUUCUGAACAAGCGUGAGGAAGGGGUUGUAGGGGACCCCUAAAGCAAGCUGGCUGGCAAGACCAGCCACUCCAGUGAGCUCUGGGAUCAAUGAAUAAGGUGAAAGAGCAAUCAAGGAUGGUUCCCAACACCAGCCUCGGGCUCACACACCUUCAGGCUCCAGGCUUCAGGCCGAGCAGCAUUCUCCAGUGGGAGUGGGGCCUACCCUGAUUAAAGAUUCUCCCAGCAACACCCAGCAGGCCAGAAAGGGUGAUGGGGAAAACUGUUCUGACAUGUUGAUGGUGGCCCUGUGCCUCGUGGGAUGGUGGGCAGUUUUGCUUAAUUUUCGGGGAAAUCUAUACGUUCUCUGGGUAGCAGGUGUAUUUUUAUAAUCAGAAUGAAAGCUAAUAUAAAAUGAGG